UGCAGCAGCAGCAGCAGCACCGGGACCAGCUACAACAUCUUGGAGUGGAAGGGGCCGUCUAUGUGCUGGAGUUAACAGUGGCUGCAACGCUCUGACAUCCACGUUGACAUUAUACAGCAAUCUUACACAACCACACAGAUUCUUUUGCCGGAGUCCGAAGUUUCAUCUAUGGACGCAGCACCACAAACCAGCGGAUUGAAUCGUGGUGGGGGAUCCUGAGGAAACAAAGUGCACAGUUUUGGAUCAACGUUUUCCAAACCCUC
This is a long non-coding RNA of Cololabis saira (Pacific saury), 263 nucleotides long. RefSeq lists it as uncharacterized. Lineage: Eukaryota; Metazoa; Chordata; Actinopteri; Beloniformes; Belonidae. The transcript is spliced from 3 exons. The record is from RefSeq and is a predicted model, not a curated record.